This 506-nucleotide ribosomal RNA is filed under the name uncultured bacterium. RNAcentral describes it as "partial 16S ribosomal RNA". It matches the Rfam family "Bacterial small subunit ribosomal RNA", at positions 29 to 523 of the family's 1533-position model. The record is from RNAcentral.
AGUGAACGCUGGCGGUAGGCCUAACACAUGCAAGUCGAACGGCAGCACAGAGGAGCUUGCUCCUUGGGUGGCGAGUGGCGGACGGGUGAGGAAUACAUCGGAAUCUACUCUGUCGUGGGGGACAACGUAGGGAAACUUACGCUAAUACCGCAUACGACCUACGGGUGAAAGCAGGGGACCUUCGGGCCUUGCGCGAUUGAAUGAGCCGAUGUCGGAUUCGCUAGUUGGCGGGGUAAAGGCCCACCAAGGCGACGAUCCGUAGCUGGUCUGAGAGGAGGAUCAGCCAGAAGGGAACUGAGACACGGUCCAGACGCCUACGGGAGGCAGCAGUGGGGAAUAUUGGACAAUGGGCGCAAGCCUGAUCCAGCAAUACCGCGUGGGUGAAGAAGGCCUUCGGGUUGUAAAGCCCUUUUGUUGGGAAAGAAAUCCAGCUGGCUAAUACCCGGUUGGGAUGACGGUACCCAAAGAAUAAGCACCGGCUAACUUCGUGCCAGCCGCCGCCGUAA